AGUGAACGCUGGCGGUAGGCCUAACACAUGCAAGUCGAACGGCAGCACAGUAAGAGCUUGCUCUUACGGGUGGCGAGUGGCGGACGGGUGAGGAAUACAUCGGAAUCUACUUUUUCGUGGGGGAUAACGUAGGGAAACUUACGCUAAUACCGCAUACGACCUACUGGUGAAAGCAGGGGAUCUUCGGACCUUGCGCGAUUGAAUGAGCCGAUGUCGGAUUAGCUAGUUGGCGGGGUAAAGGCCCACCAAGGCGACGAUCCGUAGCUGGUCUGAGAGGAUGAUCAGCCACACUGGAACUGAGACACGGUCCAGACUCCUACGGGAGGCAGCAGUGGGGAAUAUUGGACAAUGGGCGAAAGCCUGAUCCAGCCAUACCGCGUGGGUGAAGAAGGCCUUCGGGUUGUAAAGCCCUGUUGUUGGGAAAGAAAAGCAGCAGGUUAAUACCCCGCUGUUCUGACGGUACCCAAAGAAUAAGCACCGGCUAACUUCGUG
This 492-nucleotide ribosomal RNA is filed under the name uncultured bacterium. Its description in RNAcentral is "partial 16S ribosomal RNA". It matches the Rfam family "Bacterial small subunit ribosomal RNA", at positions 29 to 507 of the family's 1533-position model. The record is from RNAcentral.